AACGAACGCUGGCGGCGUGCUUAACACAUGCAAGUCGAACGCGAAAGGGACUUCGGUCCUGAGUAGAGUGGCGCACGGGUGAGUAACGCGUAAGUAAUCUACCCCUGUAUCUGGAAUAACCCACCGAAGGGUGAGCUAAUACCGGAUACGUUCAGACUGGUGCGAAUCAGUUUGAAGAAAGGUGGCCUCUUCUUGAAAGCUACUGUACAGGGACGAGCUUGCGUACCAUUAGCUAGUUGGUAGGGUAAUGGCCUACCAAGGCGACGAUGGUUAGCGGGUCUGAGAGGAUGAUCCGCCACACUGGAACUGGAACACGGACCAGACUCCUACGGGAGGCAGCAGUGAGGAAUAUUGCGCAAUGGGGGAAACCCUGACGCAGCGACGCCGCGUGGAUGAUGAAGGCCCUUGGGUCGUAAAAUCCUGUCAGGUGGAAAGAAUGGUAUAUAUGCUAAUAUCAUAUAUAUUUGACGGUACACCAAAGGAAGCACCGGCUAACUCCGUGCCAG
RNAcentral lists this ribosomal RNA (506 nucleotides) under uncultured bacterium. RNAcentral describes it as "bacterial SSU rRNA". It matches the Rfam family "Bacterial small subunit ribosomal RNA", at positions 29 to 511 of the family's 1533-position model. The record is from RNAcentral.